Mesocricetus auratus (golden hamster) is the source of this 1407-nucleotide long non-coding RNA. RefSeq lists it as uncharacterized. The transcript has 5 exons. The record is from RefSeq and is a predicted model, not a curated record. Lineage: Eukaryota; Metazoa; Chordata; Mammalia; Rodentia; Cricetidae.
CAAGCAUCCAUCUAAGUGUCCAUCCAUCUAUGCAUCUAUCCAUCUGUCCAUCCAUCCAUCAUCAACCCAGUGAGUACAUGCUCUAGGCCCAGAACCCUGUGCCAGUUGCUAGGAUACAGACACCAAAACAGUUCACCAGGCCUGCCCGAGAAAGUGUUGCAGGUCUGGUGACCUGAUACUUGAGCAAACACCCAUGCCUCCUCAGCCAUAUCACGUUGUGGUGAAUGUGAAAGUUGUUUCAUGAAUCCAAAGGAUUAGCUGACUCCAACCCAAGGGGCCCCUCCUCCAAGUCACCGUCUCCCAUUUCGCCGCGUGCAAUGGGGGAUUUGACAGGGGAGGAGAAGGUGAAGGCCACUUCUGGUGGAUGGACCAGGCUUGCUAGGGCAGGUCUUUGUAAGCACACUGCAUGUUUGGCGGAAUGCGGUGCUGCAGUUGCGAGGCUACGAAGAUACAGGAUCGGAGAGCUAGCUGAAGAAACACGUUAGGAGAUGGAGGAGGGCGUUGAAUGCCAGCUCUGGACACAGGAUCCAGCAGCCUCUGUGGCUACCCAGAUCCUCCCUGGACUCACCUCAUUGGGAGAAAGAAGUAGGUUUUUGCCUCAGCAAGGAAACUGAGACUGACUGUCUACCAGUCUCCUCUCUUAUUCGAAGUGCCACUUGGUCGCCAAAGUCAGAAAUCUAAGUUUUGUCAGGGAGAUGGCUCAGCAGCAGGGGCCAGCUGUGAAGAUACACAUCCAAGACCCAGGAUUCCCAUUGGUUUUCUUCAGAGGCUUUCUCCGUGCCAAGGCUGUGAAGUGAUAGCAGUUGUGGGUCAAGGAGCCCUUCUGUGUUCUGGAUAGGAUGCUCCGGGUCUGCAAAAUUAAUGGGUCCUGCUGAAACCAGAAACUGGCUCUCAGCUCUAACCCGCCUUGCUGAGCUGUGGCACCCUCCCCAUCUUAUUUCAGACAUACCUUGGAGGUGGCACCUGUCCCUCAACUCCCAUGGUGCAGGAUCAUUACCUGACAGGGGCCUGGAGUCACCGGCGGCCACCUCAUCAUCUUAGAGAUGGGAAGAAACCCUGACUAUAACCAACCUGGCAUAUACUUUUUAGCCUUGCAUUGUCUAUAGGGUAAAAUCCACUUCUGGACUUGAAAACCUACCAAAACCCACCAGUCCCUGAGCCUGAAAAAUUUAACCAAUCCCUGAGCACGAAAUCCCUCCUAUCUUUGAGUUUGAAAUCCCACCAGUCUCUGAGCUGGGCUUGAAAUCUCAUCAGCUCCCCGCCCCACACCCUGGAAAUCUCCACUCUGGAAAGCUCGGCUCCCCCGAACUCUGUAUAAAGCCUGCCUCCUGCUCUGUUUAUUGCUACUUCUUACCCAGGCAGAGGUAACCACCCUCUUGUGUCCCUCUGAAUAAAUCUCUUGUGUGA